CCUACGGGAGGCAGCAGUAGGGAAUCUUCCACAAUGGGCGAAAGCCUGAUGGAGCAACGCCGCGUGAGUGAUGAAGGCCUUCGGGUUGUAAAACUCUGUCAUUCGGGACGAACCGGAGUCUGAGGAAAUGCAGACUCUCUGACGGUACCGGAGGAGGAAGCCCCGGCUAACUACGUGCCAGCAGCCGCGGUAAUACGUAGGGGGCAAGCGUUGUCCGGAUUCACUGGGCGUAAAGCGCGCGCAGGCGGUGAUGUAAGUCUGAGGUGAAAACCCGAAGCUCAACUUCGGGACUGCCUUGGAUACUGCGUCACUUGAGGAUAGGAGAGGCAAGGGGAAUUCCACGUGUAGCGGUGAAAUGCGUAGAGAUGUGGAGGAACACCUGUGGCGAAGGCGCCUUGCUGGCCUAUUUCUGACGCUGAGGCGCGAAAGCGUGGGGAGCAAACAGGAUUAGAUACCCUGGUAGUCCACGCUGUAAACGAUGAGUGCUAGGUGUAGGUGGGCUCAUACCCAUCUGUGCCGAAGCUAACGCAUUAAGCACUCCGCCUGGGGAGUCGGUCGCAAGCUGAAACUCAAAUGAAUUGACGGCUUGAGGACGNGCGAGCGACACGAGGGAGAGG
This 617-nucleotide ribosomal RNA is filed under the name uncultured bacterium. RNAcentral describes it as "bacterial SSU rRNA". It matches the Rfam family "Bacterial small subunit ribosomal RNA", at positions 338 to 944 of the family's 1533-position model. The record is from RNAcentral.